Molecule: non-coding RNA, 21 nt
Filed under: Caenorhabditis elegans
Lineage: Eukaryota; Metazoa; Nematoda; Chromadorea; Rhabditida; Rhabditidae
Source: RNAcentral
UCUCCUAGGGGCUUUAAACAC